Molecule: ribosomal RNA, 382 nt
Filed under: uncultured eukaryote
Lineage: Eukaryota
Description: partial 18S ribosomal RNA
Rfam family: Eukaryotic small subunit ribosomal RNA
Source: RNAcentral
UGUAAGCGUAUACCAAAGUUGUUGCGGUUAAAACGCUCGUAGUCGGAAUUUGGCAGUUCCGGAUGUGUGCACGUCGUGUGCGCACUUCGCGGGGAUUGCUUUUGUGGUCUUGCGUAGGAUGAGGCACUUUUAUUAGUGAACGUCCUCACGCAACCACUUUUUACUGUGAGAAAAUCAGAGUGCUCAAAGCAGGCAUUUGCCGUGAAUGUAUUAGCAUGGAAUAAUAGAAUAGGACUUGGUUCUAUUUUGUUGGUUUGUUGGGACUGAGUAAUGAUUAAGAGGGACAGUUGGGGGCAUUUGUAUUUCGGUGCUAGAGGUGAAAUUCUUAGAUUACCGAAAGACAAACUGCUGCGAAAGCGUCUGCCAAGGAUGUUUCCAUUGA